CAAUUUCUUUCUUUCAUUCCUGGGUUUGUAGCUUUGACCACAGUUGCCAUUUUUAAAAAAUGAAAACUAUAUAAAAAUUCUCCUAACUGUCCCUGACCUCCAAGGAAGAAAUUGAGAAAAUAAAGGCAACAUGCGUAGAGGGAAGGUUCUAGUUAUCCUGACUGGAGUGUGAAAAAAUCCUGACCAUUGCUAUUAUGGUGGUGCUUGGCUUUGAGAUAAAGGAAGGUCUAUGAGGAGGUACCACAAGCUGUAUCAAGUGAACAUAUUCCAGCAUCAAAAGUGUUAUUCCAAAUAAUGUAUCAUGGAAUCUACAUAAGAGAAAGAGAAAAGAGAUGAAAUCUGGAGCCACAAAACAAUGGAAGACUCUCCUGUUUAGAAAGCUUAACAGAUGCAUUCCCAUUAAGGAGCCGUUUGCAUUUAAUUCAAAUCCAUCAGCUUGUGAUGCUGCUACAUGCUAUGCUAAGUGAUGAGAAGACUGAUUAUUGAAAGGAAUAUCUAUGUCUUUGGUGUCAGAUUGUGCUGUUUCCUUGCAGAGUGGACUUCAUAUUCACUGCUUCAGCUUGUAGAAAGUAGAUGAUUAAAGUUUGUGAAGA
Non-coding RNA from Peromyscus maniculatus bairdii (prairie deer mouse), 593 nucleotides. NCBI's taxonomy places the organism in Eukaryota, Metazoa, Chordata, Mammalia, Rodentia, Cricetidae. The record is from RefSeq and is a predicted model, not a curated record.